UUGGAGGGCAGUCUGGUGCCAGCAGCCGCGGUAUUCCAGCUCCAAUAGCGUAUAUUAAAGUUGUUGCAGUUAAAAAGCUCGUAGUUGAAUUUCGGGAUCAGCAGGUUGGUCUUGCCACUGGCAUGUACUAGCCUGCUGAUUCCUCCUUCUUGUAGAACCGUAAUGCCAUUAGUUUGGUGUUGCGGGGAAACAGGACUGUUACUUUGAAAAAAUUAGAGUGUUUAAAGCAGGCUAGCGCCUGAAUACAUUAGCAUGGAAUAAUGAAAUAGGACGUUCGAACCUAUUUUGUUGGUUUCUAGGAUUGACGUAAUGAUUAAUAGGGAUAGUUGGGGGCAUUAGUAUUCAAUUGUCAGAGGUGAAAUUCUUGGAUUUAUUGAAGACUAACUACUGCGAAAGCAUUUGCCAAGGAUGUUUUCAUUAAUCAAGAACGAAAGUUAGGGGAUCGAAGACGAUCAGAUACCGUCGUAGUCUUAACCAUAAACAAUGCCGACUAGGGAUCGGAUGAUGUUAAUUUUUUAAUGACUCAUUCGGCGCCUUACGGGAAAC
This 546-nucleotide ribosomal RNA is filed under the name uncultured Glomeromycotina. RNAcentral describes it as "SSU rRNA". It matches the Rfam family "Eukaryotic small subunit ribosomal RNA", at positions 548 to 1098 of the family's 1831-position model. The record is from RNAcentral. Lineage: Eukaryota; Fungi; Glomeromycota.